RNAcentral lists this ribosomal RNA (489 nucleotides) under uncultured bacterium. Its description in RNAcentral is "bacterial SSU rRNA". It matches the Rfam family "Bacterial small subunit ribosomal RNA", at positions 8 to 487 of the family's 1533-position model. The record is from RNAcentral.
AGAGUUUGAUCCUGGCUCAGGACGAACGCUGGCGGCGGGCUUAACACAUGCAAGUCGAAGGAGAAGGGGGGUGCUUGCACCACCUGGAGACUGGCGCACGGGUGAGUAACGCGUAGGCAAUCUGCCCAUAGCAGGGGGAUAACAUCGGGAAACCGGUGCUAAUACCGCAUAAUGCAGCGGGGUCGCAUGACCACAGUUGUUAAGGGUCUUCGGACCGGCUAUGGAUGAGCCUGCGUGCCAUUAGUUAGUUGGUAGGGUAAUGGCCUACCAAGGCGAUGAUGGCUAGGGGGUCUGAGAGGAUGAUCCCCCACACUGGUACUGAGACACGGACCAGACUCCUACGGGAGGCAGCAGUGAGGAAUCUUGCGCAAUGGAGGAAACUCUGACGCAGCCACGCCGCGUGCCGGAAGACGGCCCUAUGGGUUGUAAACGGCUUUUGAUUGGGAAGAACUGCCCUGUUUCGACGGGGCUUGACGGUACCAUUUGAAU